This 448-nucleotide ribosomal RNA is filed under the name uncultured bacterium. RNAcentral's name for it is "SSU rRNA". It matches the Rfam family "Bacterial small subunit ribosomal RNA", at positions 26 to 518 of the family's 1533-position model. The record is from RNAcentral.
AGAACGAACGCUGGCGGCAUGCCUAACACAUGCAAGUCGAACGCUCGUAGCAAUACGGGAGUGGCGGACGGGUGAGUAACGCGUGGGAACCUGCCCUGGAGUGGGGGAUAACCGAUGGAAACGUCGGCUAAUACCGCAUACGACCUGAGGGUGAAAGAUUUAUCGCUCUAGGAGGGGCCCGCGUCGGAUUAGCUAGUUGGUGAGGUAACGGCUCACCAAGGCGAUGAUCCGUAGCUGGUCUGAGAGGAUGAUCAGCCACACUGGGACUGAGACACGGCCCAGACUCCUACGGGAGGCAGCAGUGGGGAAUAUUGGACAAUGGGGGCAACCCUGAUCCAGCAAUGCCGCGUGAGUGAUGAAGGCCUUAGGGUUGUAAAGCUCGUUUCGGCGGGACGAUGAUGACGGUACCCGCAGAAGAAGCCCCGGCUAACUUCGUGCCAGCAGCCGC